AAAUUGAAGAGUUUGAUCAUGGCUCAGAUUGAACGCUGGCGGCAGGCCUAACACAUGCAAGUCGAGCGGUAGCACAGAGAGCUUGCUCUCGGGUGACGAGCGGCGGACGGGUGAGUAAUGUCUGGGAAACUGCCUGAUGGAGGGGGAUAACUACUGGAAACGGUAGCUAAUACCGCAUAACGUCGCAAGACCAAAGUGGGGGACCUUCGGGCCUCAUGCCAUCAGAUGUGCCCAGAUGGGAUUAGCUUGUAGGUGGGGUAACGGCUCACCUAGGCGACGAUCCCUAGCUGGUCUGAGAGGAUGACCAGCCACACUGGAACUGAGACACGGUCCAGACUCCUACGGGAGGCAGCAGUGGGGAAUAUUGCACAAUGGGCGCAAGCCUGAUGCAGCCAUGCCGCGUGUGUGAAGAAGGCCUUCGGGUUGUAAAGCACUUUCAGCGGGGAGGAAGGCG
Molecule: ribosomal RNA, 454 nt
Filed under: Klebsiella pneumoniae
Lineage: Bacteria; Pseudomonadati; Pseudomonadota; Gammaproteobacteria; Enterobacterales; Enterobacteriaceae
Description: bacterial SSU rRNA
Rfam family: Bacterial small subunit ribosomal RNA
Source: RNAcentral